AGAGUUUGAUCCGGCUCAGAUUGAACGCUGGCGGCAUGCCUAACACAUGCAAGUCGCACGCGAAAGGGGGCAACCCCGAGUAGAGUGGCGGACGGGUGCGUAAUACGCAGGAAUCUACCCACGAGUGGGGGACAACCCGGGGAAACCCGGGCUAAUACCGCAUGAGACCUACGGGUGAAAGCGGGGGAUCGCAAGACCUCGCGCUGGUGGAUGAGCCUGCGUCCGAUUAGCUAGUUGGUAGGGUAAAAGCCUACCAAGGCAACGAUCGGUAGCUGGUCUGAGAGGACGACCAACCACACUGGGACUGAGACACGGCCCAGACUCCUACGGGAGGCAGCAGUGGGGAAUAUUGGACAAUGGGGGCAACCCUGAUCCAGCAAUGCCGCGUGUGUGAAGAAGGCCUUCGGGUUGUAAAGCACUUUCGAUGGGGACAAACGUGUCGGGCUUAAUACGUCCGGCCUUGAUGGUACCUAGAGAAGAAGCACCGGCUAACUCUGUGCCAGCAGCCGCGGUAAUACAGAGGGUGCAAGCGUUAAUCGGAAUUACUGGGCGUAAAGCGUGCGUAGGUGGUUGGAUAAGUCAGGUGUGAAAUCCCCGAGCUUAACUUGGGAAUUGCGCUUGAUACUGUCCGGCUAGAGUGUGGUAGAGGGUAGUGGAAUUCCGCAUGUAGCGGUGAAAUGCGUAGAUAUGCGGAGGAACAUCAAUGGCGAAGGCGGCUACCUGGACCAACACUGACACUGAGGCACGAAAGCGUGGGUAGCAAACAGGAUUAGAUACCCUGGUAGUCC
RNAcentral lists this ribosomal RNA (788 nucleotides) under uncultured bacterium. RNAcentral's name for it is "bacterial SSU rRNA". It matches the Rfam family "Bacterial small subunit ribosomal RNA", at positions 8 to 796 of the family's 1533-position model. The record is from RNAcentral.